UGCCGGCCGGGGGACGGA
Molecule: small nuclear RNA, 18 nt
Filed under: Arabidopsis thaliana (thale cress)
Lineage: Eukaryota; Viridiplantae; Streptophyta; Magnoliopsida; Brassicales; Brassicaceae
Description: snRNA_11196
Source: RNAcentral